This 287-nucleotide ribosomal RNA is filed under the name Clostridioides difficile. RNAcentral describes it as "partial 16S ribosomal RNA". It matches the Rfam family "Bacterial small subunit ribosomal RNA", at positions 1030 to 1318 of the family's 1533-position model. Lineage: Bacteria; Bacillati; Bacillota; Clostridia; Peptostreptococcales; Peptostreptococcaceae. The record is from RNAcentral.
GGUGACAGGUGGUGCAUGGUUGUCGUCAGCUCGUGUCGUGAGAUGUUGGGUUAAGUCCCGCAACGAGCGUAACCCUUGUCUUUAGUUGCCAUCAUUAAGUUGGGCACUCUAGAGAGACUGCCAGGGAUAACCUGGAGGAAGGUGGGGAUGACGUCAAAUCAUCAUGCCCCUUAUGCUUAGGGCUACACACGUGCUACAAUGGGUAGUACAGAGGGUUGCCAAGCCGUAAGGUGGAGCUAAUCCCUUAAAGCUACUCUCAGUUCGGAUUGUAGGCUGAAACUCGCCUA